This 2407-nucleotide unclassified non-coding RNA is filed under the name Leishmania donovani. Its description in RNAcentral is "gene:LdHU3.30.1370(CDS-product:hypothetical_prote in_conserved)". The record is from RNAcentral. Lineage: Eukaryota; Euglenozoa; Kinetoplastea; Trypanosomatida; Trypanosomatidae.
ACGGUGCUCCGGCCGUGCACGGAUCACCACCCCACCACCUCUAAACUAGUCGGUCACCGAGGCGGCUGUACGGGGUAACUGUGCCGCGGCUGUGCGGUGCACCGCUUCGCUCCCUUCUUCAGUCCCAACAUUUUCUUUCCUUCUCUCUUCGGUGCUGCACGUCGGUGGGAGCGCUGCGUUGCAAACCCUCACACAUCCCUUCCCCAUGCCUACACGCGUCCCUCAUCAAGUCGUGGAGGGCCGCCUUCUUCAGGCUUCCCGUCUGCCCGAGGCACUCUACGAGGUGGUAGGCUUGGUGUGGUUCAGCCUUGUUAACAGCGCAUGCGACACUCCAGCUGCCGAGGUUGCCACCGCUGCCGCCGCUGCUGCCACCCCGGGUGCAGAUUUAGAAGCUGCACCUUUGACGCCUCCGCCGCUACAUGCACCGUGGGCACGGUCUGCGGCGCGCGACACGCACGACGCAGGGAGCGGUGCACCAAACACUUCGGAGGAGUCGUUCGCUGCGGUUCUCGGGCACACAAAAACCGGCCAAGCCCUCUCUGCUGCCGAUUUGGACGAGUGGGCGAAUACGGCGUUGAGCAGUUUCUUUGGCGAUUACGAUACGCUCCUUUCCGAACCACCUAAAAUGAUGACACCAGCAGUGCUUCCAGCCGCCUCGCCGACAACCAGCUCUGCGCAGGACUUGCCAUCCUCUACUUCAUGCGCGCCGCGUCCUACGCCAGUGGUCGAACUCAGCCCGCUUAUCUUGCGUGUGCUCCUGUGGUGGGCUGGUCGUCCUCAGCUGCCGUCGCGGCGAAGCGGGCACGCUGCCAAGGUCGAACGACAGAAUACCUACAGCAACCGCAUCACUCGCUACGAUGUGGACGUCGGUUCGACGAGCGAGUUGCCUGCUGACAGUCGCGCACCUUCACACGCGUCGUCCAGCGACAACGGUGGCAGCGGUAAUCUGCCAUCACAGCAGCAGGACGAUGCCAUGGGUGCGCAGCAGCUGCGGCUGCGCAUUGCCGACAUCUUCGCCCUGCUGUGCCGCCGCGACGGUGGAGUGGCUGUGUCCGACGCGCUUCUGUACGGUCGCUGCCACGACGCCUCCGAGCUUGCGGCGCAGCGCUGCCACCUUGUAUUCAGCGGCUUCUCCGAUGCACGCUGGAGGGCGGCGACAGCACUGGCUCCGAAUUCGCCCAAAACCUUCGCUACCGCCCUCGAGCUGGCGUUGAUUGAGCCCUCUGCCUCACCUGAUUCUAAGGACGGCGGUGCAAGUGCGCGCAGUGGCACGUACGACGUGAGCCAAGUGCUGUGCGCACUGGUGGACCUGCACACGUCUGCCGCAUCUGCCACUCGACGCUCUCAGCCGAGACCGUCUCCGCACCUCAGAACGGACGCGAACGUUGAUUCCGACGUGGUGGCGACAGGGGUGCUGCUCCGCGCUCUGCUCCGCUGCCCACCGCUCCACAAGAGACUCAUGCGACUGUUUAGCGGCGACGCGCGCGCAGCAGAGCCGCGACGCCACAGGCGAGGAGCCUCGGCUGUCGUAGUGACGCCGCAGGCGGCGGCGUCCUUGAAGUCCUCAGAAGAGGUUGAACCGGGCUCGUCGUCGACUGUAGUCCUGAAAGCGGCGGACACUCGUAGGCAGCUCGAUAUCUUUCUGCCCGCCCUCACUCACGCAUCACCGAUCGUGUCGGCCGACUCGUGGCAAACGUUGACGAUGCUGCUGUUUCCGUCCUCAACCGCCACCGUCAGCUCUGCAACGCGACGACUACUGCUGUUUGCGCCGGCGUGCCCGGUGCAGCGCCUCCUUGCAGCCGCGUUGGCACUGCCUGGAGACGACAAUGACGACACAUGUGCGAGUAGGCCAUCGACGCCACAGCCCGUCUUGCCCCCGUCUUCCCAUCCUAUGGCACGCAACAACGCACUGCGACUCCUCCACGUACUGUGCUCCUCGAGCGAUCUGCCGCCGGGCCUCCAGUCGCUGUUUCAACAGUGCCCCGCGCUACUGUGGCGGGUGCUGCGCCUGGCCGCUGCGGUCUGCCAAGGGGUGGCCGUUGCUCAUGUCGCGCUGGUGCGACGCGUUCUCGUCGACUACAUCAUGCUAUGUGCUUCGCAGUCUAGCUGUAGCGAAAGCGGCGGUGUCGACCUGCACAACAACUCUAGCGUCUCCACCCAGGUGCUUCUGCGCGAAAACAAGGAUGCUGUCGCCCGCUUCUUGGCGUCGACGCACGCGGCGUGGGGUGGUGGUGGCAGAGCGCCGGAGGACACUGGCGGUGACUUGGCUGGCGCCGCCGCUCCUGCAUCCUCUGAGAAUGGCUACGACGAGGGCCACCUAAUGACGGUCCUGAACGCGCUGUGAGUGUGCGCGGUCGUACGCUUCGGCACACCACCGCAUGCCACUACUAUCCCUUCGUGGGUAAUG